GUCUGGGUGUGCGUUAACGGGUGAGGAACACGUGAGGAAUCUGCCUUCCACUCUGGGAUAACUCCGGGAAACCGGGGCUAAUACCGGAUACUUUCAACUGGCGGCAUCGCCGGUUGAAGAAAGUUUUUCGGUGGAAGAUGACCUCGCGGCCUAUCAGCUUGUUGGUGAGGUAAAGGCUCACCAAGGCGACGACGGGUAGCCGGCCUGAGAGGGCGACCGGCCACACUGGGACUGAGACACGGCCCAGACUCCUACGGGAGGCAGCAGUGGGGAAUAUUGGGCAAUGGAGGAAACUCUGACCCAGCGACGCCGCGUGAGGGAUGAAGGCCUCCGGGUUGUAAACCUCUUUCAGCAGGGAAUAAGCGAAAGUGAAGGUACCUGCAGAAGAAGCACCGGCUAACUAUGUGCCAGCAGCCGCGAUAAUACAUAGGGUGCAAGCGUUGUCCGGAAUUAUUGGGCGUAAAGAGCUCGUAGGUGGUCGAUCACGUCGGAUGUGAAAAUCUGAGGCUUAACCUCAGACCUGCAUUCGAUACGGGUUGACUAGAGUGUGGUAGGGGAGACUGGAAUUCCUGGUGUAGCGGUGGAAUGCGCAGAUAUCAGGAGGAACACCGAUGGCGAAGGCAGGUCUCUGGGCCAUUACUAACACUGAGGAGCGAAAGUGUGGGGAGCGAACAGGAUUAGAUACCCUGGUAGUCCACACCGUAAACGGUGGGCGCUAGUUGUGGGAACCUUCCACGGUUUCUGCGACGCAGCUAACGCAUUAAGCGCCCCGCCUGGGGAGUACGGUCGCAAGACUAAAACUCAAAGAAAUUGACGGGGCCCCGCACAAGCAGCGGAGCAUGCGGCUUAAUUCGACGCAACGCGAAGAACCUUACCAAGGCUUGACAUAUACAGGAAUACGGCAGAGAUGUCGUAGCCGCAAGGUCUGUAUACAGGUGGUGCAUAGUUGUCGUCAGCUCGUGUCGUGAGAUGUUGGGUUAAGUCCCGCAACGAGCGCAACCCUCGUCCUGUGUUACCAGCAUUUAGUUGGGGACUCACAGGAGACUGCCGGGGUCAACUCGGAGGAAGGUGGGGAUGACGUCAAAUCAUCAUGCCCCUUAUGUCUUGGGCUGCACGCAUGCUACAAUGGCUGGUACCAAGAGCUGCAAUACCGCAAGGUGGAGCGAAUCUCAGAAAGCCAGUCUCAGUUCGGAUUGGGGUCU
Molecule: ribosomal RNA, 1202 nt
Filed under: uncultured bacterium
Lineage: Bacteria
Description: bacterial SSU rRNA
Rfam family: Bacterial small subunit ribosomal RNA
Source: RNAcentral